AGUGAACGCUGGCGGUAGGCCUAACACAUGCAAGUCGAACGGCAGCACAGUAAGAGCUUGCUCUUACGGGUGGCGAGUGGCGGACGGGUGAGGAAUACAUCGGAAUCUACUUUUUCGUGGGGGAUAACGUAGGGAAACUUACGCUAAUACCGCAUACGACCUACGGGUGAAAGCAGGGGAUCUUCGGACCUUUCGCGAUUGAAUGAGCCGAUGUCGGAUCAGCUAGUUGGCUGGGUAAAGGCCCACCAAGGCGACGAUCCGUAGCUGGUCUGAGAGGAUGAUCAGCCACACUGGAACUGAGACACGGUCCAGACUCCUACGGGAGGCAGCAGUGGGGAAUAUUGGACAAUGGGCGCAAGCCUGAUCCAGCCAUACCGCGUGAGUGAAGAAGGCCUUCGGGUUGUAAAGCCCUUUUGUUGGGAAAGAAAAGCAGCAGGUUAAUACCCCGCUGUUCUGACGGUACCCAAAGAAUAAGCACCGGCUAACUUCGUG
This 492-nucleotide ribosomal RNA is filed under the name uncultured bacterium. RNAcentral describes it as "partial 16S ribosomal RNA". It matches the Rfam family "Bacterial small subunit ribosomal RNA", at positions 29 to 507 of the family's 1533-position model. The record is from RNAcentral.